AUUGAACGCUGGCGGCAUGCUUUACACAUGCAAGUCGAACGGUAACAGGCCGCAAGGUGCUGACGAGUGGCGAACGGGUGGGUAAUGCAUCGGAACGUGCCCAGUCGUGGGGGAUAACUACUCGAAAGAGUAGCUAAUACCGCAUACGAUCUAUGGAUGAAAGCGGGGGACCGUAAGGCCUCGCGCGAUUGGAGCGGCCGAUGUCAGAUUAGGCAGUUGGUGGGGUAAAGGCUCACCAAGCCAACGAUCUGUAGCUGGUCUGAGAGGACGACCAGCCACACUGGGACUGAGACACGGCCCAGACUCCUACGGGAGGCAGCAGUGGGGAAUUUUGGACAAUGGGCGCAAGCCUGAUCCAGCAAUGCCGCGUGCAGGUAGAAGGCCUUCGGGUUGUAAACUGCUUUUGUACGGAACGAAACGGCUCUGGUUAAUACCCGGGGCUAAUGACGGCACCGUAAGAAUAAGCACCGGCUAACUACGUG
This 482-nucleotide ribosomal RNA is filed under the name uncultured bacterium. RNAcentral describes it as "partial 16S ribosomal RNA". It matches the Rfam family "Bacterial small subunit ribosomal RNA", at positions 30 to 507 of the family's 1533-position model. The record is from RNAcentral.